GUCCACGCCGUAAACGAUGGAUGCUAGCCGUCGGGGAGCUUGCUCUUCGGUGGCGCAGCUAACGCAUUAAGCAUCCCGCCUGGGGAGUACGGUCGCAAGAUUAAAACUCAAAGGAAUUGACGGGGGCCCCGCACAAGCGGUGGAGCAUGUGGUUUAAUUCGAAGCAACGCGCAUAACCUUACCAGCUCUUGACAUGUCACGUAUGGGUACCGGAGACGGUAUCCUUCAGUUCGGCUGGCGUGAACACAGGUGCUGCAUGGCUGUCGU
Molecule: ribosomal RNA, 267 nt
Filed under: uncultured bacterium
Lineage: Bacteria
Description: partial 16S ribosomal RNA
Rfam family: Bacterial small subunit ribosomal RNA
Source: RNAcentral